AAAGUCGUAACAAGGUUUCCGUAGGUGAACCUGCGGAAGGAUCAUUACUGGUAAGGGGGUGAGCUGGCGUAACGCACAGUGCUCCCCCAUUCAUAUACACACCGUGCACUUUGGGACGAGCGUCCCUAUUAUAAAUGCCUGUCUUAUGCAUGUCAAUGUACCCUUAGGGGGAAUUAUAAUAACUUUCAACAACGGAUCUCUUGGCUUUU
RNAcentral lists this unclassified non-coding RNA (209 nucleotides) under Basidiomycota sp. Its description in RNAcentral is "partial contains small subunit ribosomal RNA, internal transcribed spacer 1, and 5.8S ribosomal RNA". The stretch from base 1 to 47 matches the Rfam family "Eukaryotic small subunit ribosomal RNA", at positions 1785 to 1831 of the family's 1831-position model. The record is from RNAcentral. Lineage: Eukaryota; Fungi; Basidiomycota.